CCUACGGGUGGCUGCAGUGAGGAAUAUUGGUCAAUGGACGAGAGUCUGAACCAGCCACGUAGCGUGAAGGAUGACUGCCCUAUGGGUUUUAAACUUCUUUUAUAUGGGACUAAGAUGUUCCACGUGUGUGAUUUUGUAUGUACCAUAUGAGUAAAGAUAGUCUAACUCCGUGCCAGCAGCCGCGUUAAUACGGCGGGUCCGCACUUUAUCCGGAUUGAUUGGGUUUAAUGGGAGCGUAGGUGGAUUGUUAAGUCAGUUGUGAAAGUUUGCGGCUCAACCGUAAAAUUGCAGUUGAAACUGGCAGUCUUGAGUAUAGUAGAGGUGGGCGGAAUUCGUGGUGUAGCGGUGAAAUGCUUAGAUAUCACGAAGAACUCCGAUUGCGAAGGCAGCUCACUGGACUGCAACUGACACUGAGGCUCGAAAGUGUGGGUAUCAAACAGGAUUAGAUACCCCAGUAGUC
Molecule: ribosomal RNA, 460 nt
Filed under: uncultured bacterium
Lineage: Bacteria
Description: partial 16S ribosomal RNA
Rfam family: Bacterial small subunit ribosomal RNA
Source: RNAcentral